This 427-nucleotide ribosomal RNA is filed under the name Pseudomonas sp. Its description in RNAcentral is "partial 16S ribosomal RNA". It matches the Rfam family "Bacterial small subunit ribosomal RNA", at positions 355 to 774 of the family's 1533-position model. Lineage: Bacteria; Pseudomonadati; Pseudomonadota; Gammaproteobacteria; Pseudomonadales; Pseudomonadaceae. The record is from RNAcentral. RNAcentral also lists the same sequence under 1 other name.
UGGGGAAUAUUGGACAAUGGGCGAAAGCCUGAUCCAGCCAUGCCGCGUGUGUGAAGAAGGUCUUCGGAUUGUAAAGCACUUUAAGUUGGGAGGAAGGGCAGUUACCUAAUACGUGAUUGUUUUGACGUUACCGACAGAAUAAGCACCGGCUAACUCUGUGCCAGCAGCCGCGGUAAUACAGAGGGUGCAAGCGUUAAUCGGAAUUACUGGGCGUAAAGCGCGCGUAGGUGGUUUGUUAAGUUGGAUGUGAAAUCCCCGGGCUCAACCUGGGAACUGCAUUCAAAACUGACUGACUAGAGUAUGGUAGAGGGUGGUGGAAUUUCCUGUGUAGCGGUGAAAUGCGUAGAUAUAGGAAGGAGCACCAGUGGCGAAGGCGACCACCUGGACUAAUACUGACACUGAGGUGCGAAAGCGUGGGGAGCAAACA